RNAcentral lists this ribosomal RNA (468 nucleotides) under uncultured bacterium. RNAcentral's name for it is "partial 16S ribosomal RNA". It matches the Rfam family "Bacterial small subunit ribosomal RNA", at positions 28 to 507 of the family's 1533-position model. The record is from RNAcentral.
GACGAACGCUGGCGGCGUGCUUAACACAUGCAAGUCGAACGGAAAGGCCCUGCCUUUGUGGGGUGCUCGAGUGGCGAACGGGUGAGUAACACGUGAGUAACCUGCCCUUUACUUUGGGAUAACUUCAGGAAACUGGGGCUAAUACCGGAUAGGAGCUCCUGCUGCAUGGUGGGGGUUGGAAAGUUUCGGCGGUUGGGGAUGGACUCGCGGCUUAUCAGCUUGUUGGUGGGGUAGUGGCUUACCAAGGCUUUGACGGGUAGCCGGCAUGAGAGGGUGACCGGCGACAUUGGGACUGAGAUACGGCCCAGACUCCUACGGGAGGCAGCAGUGGGAAAUAUUACACAAUGAGCGGAAGCCUGAUGCAGCAACGCCGCGUGCGGGAUGACGGCCUUCGGGUUGUAAACCGCUUUCGCCUGUGACGAAGCGUGAGUGACGGUAAUGGGUAAAGAAGCACCGGCUAACUACGUG